RNAcentral lists this ribosomal RNA (117 nucleotides) under Lepisosteus oculatus (spotted gar). Lineage: Eukaryota; Metazoa; Chordata; Actinopteri; Semionotiformes; Lepisosteidae. The record is from RNAcentral.
GUCAGCAGCCGUAUCACCCUGCAGCUCCCAACUGGCUCCCCACUGAAGCUCAGCACGGUUGAGCCUGGUCAGUACCUGGAUGGGAGGCCUCCUGGGAAGCUAUGGUUGCUGCUGGAA